RNAcentral lists this ribosomal RNA (254 nucleotides) under uncultured bacterium. Its description in RNAcentral is "partial 16S ribosomal RNA". It matches the Rfam family "Bacterial small subunit ribosomal RNA", at positions 524 to 777 of the family's 1533-position model. The record is from RNAcentral.
UACGAAGGGGGCUAGCGUUGCUCGGAAUUACUGGGCGUAAAGCGCACGUAGGCGGUCUUUUAAGUCGGGGGUGAAAUCCUGGAGCUCAACUCCAGAACUGCCUUCGAUACUGGAAGACUUGAGUCCGGGAGAGGUGAGUGGAACUGCGAGUGUAGAGGUGAAAUUCGUAGAUAUUCGCAAGAACACCAGUGGCGAAGGCGGAUCUCUGGGCCUUACCUGACGCUCAGGCGCGAAAGCUAGGGGAGCGAACGUGG